GUGAAUCAUCGAAUUUUUGAACGCAAAUUGCACUCUCUUCGGUGAGUAGGCCUGUUUGAGGGUCAGCCUAAAAAGAUCGACAUAGUUGCUGUUUCGCGGUGACAUUCGUCGGAAAUCUGGUCAUCUUAUAGCUUUAAGUUUUAAGCGGCUUAAAAUUUUCUUUACGAUUCCACGAACGUUUCUCAGAUUUACUUACAAGUUUAUGGUAUCGAUCUUUAUUAGACGUGGCCGUUGCAUCGGAUUG
Molecule: unclassified non-coding RNA, 244 nt
Filed under: Glomus sp.
Lineage: Eukaryota; Fungi; Glomeromycota; Glomeromycetes; Glomerales; Glomeraceae
Description: partial contains 5.8S ribosomal RNA and internal transcribed spacer 2
Rfam family: 5.8S ribosomal RNA (bases 1-65)
Source: RNAcentral